UCCGGCUUAACGCCGGCAGUCUCCCUAGAGUGCCCAACUGAAUGGUGGCAACUAAGGACGAGGGUUGCGCUCGUUGCGGGACUUAACCCAACACCUCACGGCACGAGCUGACGACAGCCAUGCAGCACCUGAACCGGCAGUCCCCGAAGGGAAAAUCCUAUCUCUAGGACAGUCCGCCGUUGUCUAGCCCAGGUAAGGUUCUUCGCGUUGCAUCGAAUUGAGCCACAUACUCCACCGCUUGUGCAGGCCCCCGUCAAUUUCUUUGAGUUUUAAUCUUGCGACCGUACUCCCCAGGCGGCACGUUUAACGCGAGGAAGGUGGGGAUGACGUUCGUCUGAC
RNAcentral lists this unclassified non-coding RNA (339 nucleotides) under uncultured delta proteobacterium. RNAcentral describes it as "contains 16S-23S intergenic spacer region". The record is from RNAcentral. Lineage: Bacteria; Deltaproteobacteria.